GUGCAGACCACUGCAUAAGGCUAAAUACAAGGUGUCGACCGAUAGUGAACAAGUACCGUGAGGGAAAGGUGAAAAGAACCCCUGUUAGGGGAGUUAAAAGUACCUGAAACCUGUUGCCUACAAGCGGUCGGAGCUCCGAAUGGAGUGACGGCGUACCUUUUGCAUAAUGGGCCUAGGAGUUUAUGUGAGUUGCGAGCUUAAGAGUUUACGACUUGGAGGCGAAGCGAAAGCGAGUUUGAAUAGGGCGCCAGUAACUUGCAUAACACCCGAAGCGGAGGCGAUCUAGCCAUGGCCAGGUUGAAGCACCGGUAAUACGAUGUGGAGGACCGAACCCAUUAACCUUGAGAAGUUAAGGGAUGAGCUGUGGUUAGGAGUGAAAGGCUAAUCAAGCCCCGUAAUAGCUGGUUCUCUCCGAAAUAUAUUUAGGUAUAGCGCCGAAUGUUAAAAGCCGGGGGUAAAGCACUGAAAAGGCUAGGGUUCACACCAGAAUACCGAACCUUAUCAAACUCUGAAUACCGGCUGGGAAAAUUAGGUAGUCAGUCAGCGGGGGAUAAGCUCCGUUGGCGAGAGGGAAACACCCCAGACCAUCGAAUAAGGUCCCAAAGUUAGUACUAAGUGGCAAGAAGGAGGUAAAUUUUCUUAGACAAUGGGGAUGUUGGCUUAGAGGCAGCCAUCAUUUAAAAAGUGCGUAAUAGCUUACCCAUCGAGAGAGUUUGCGCCGAAAAUGAUCGGGACUAAAGUACUACACCGAAUUCGUGGAAUUAGCAAUAAUUGGUAGGAGAGCGUUCCAACGACGUAGAAGCGUGAUUGAAAGAGAGCGUGGAGUUUUUGGAAGUGAGAAUCUAGGCAUGAGUAACGAAAAGCAUGGUUAAAAUCCAUGCCGCCGUAAGGAUAAGGUUUCCUGGGGAAGGUUCGUCCGCCCAGGGUUAGUCGGGAGCUAAGGCGAGGCCGUAAGGAGUAGUCGAUGCACAAUAGGUUAAUAAUCCUAUACCUGCUUAAUGGUGUUCGAGUCGCAUAUUGACGAAUACGUGAAGUUCAGCCGGGUGAUGAAUGUCCCGGUCUAAGGUUGUGAAAGCAGCUGGGGACUUAGAGGCUACGGCCGAUAGGGAUUGAAUGGAUGGUGUUCCGGGAAAAUUUAUGCGAUUAAUCAUUGGGUAGCCCGUACCGCAAACCGACACAGGUAUCCGGGAAGAGUAUUCUAAGGCGCGUGAGUGAAAUCUCCCCAAGGAACUCGGCAAAAUGGCCCCGUAUCUUCGGUAGAAGGGGUGCCAACGCGAGUUGGUCUCAGCAAAGAGGCCCAACCGACUGUUUAUCAAAAACACAGCUCUCUGCGAAGUCGCAAGACGACGUAUAGGGAGUGACACGUGACCAAUGCGGAAAGGUGAAAACUGCUUGUUAGCGCUUGUGGUCUAAGCCCCCGUGAAUGUCGGCCGUAACUAUAACGGUCCUAAGGUAGCGAAAUUCCUUGUCGGGUAAGUUCCG
RNAcentral lists this ribosomal RNA (1482 nucleotides) under metagenome. RNAcentral's name for it is "bacterial LSU rRNA". It matches the Rfam family "Bacterial large subunit ribosomal RNA", at positions 446 to 1985 of the family's 2925-position model. The record is from RNAcentral.